UUUGAUCCUGGCUCAGGAUGAACGCUGGCGGCGUGCUUAACACAUGCAAGUCGAACGAUGAACCUCACUUGUGGGGGGAUUAGUGGCGAACGGGUGAGUAACACGUGAGUAACCUGCCCUUGACUCUGGGAUAAGCCUGGGAAACCGGGUCUAAUACUGGAUACGACCUUCUGGCGCAUGCCAUGUUGGUGGAAAGCUUUUGUGGUUUUGGAUGGACUCGCGGCCUAUCAGCUUGUUGGUGGGGUAAUGGCCUACCAAGGCGACGACGGGUAGCCGGCCUGAGAGGGUGACCGGCCACACUGGGACUGAGACACGGCCCAGACUCCUACGGGAGGCAGCAGUGGGGAAUAUUGCACAAUGGGCGCAAGCCUGAUGCAGCGACGCCGCGUGAGGGAUGAAGGCCUUCGGGUUGUAAACCUCUUUCAGU
Molecule: ribosomal RNA, 427 nt
Filed under: Arthrobacter sp.
Lineage: Bacteria; Bacillati; Actinomycetota; Actinomycetes; Micrococcales; Micrococcaceae
Description: bacterial SSU rRNA
Rfam family: Bacterial small subunit ribosomal RNA
Source: RNAcentral